UUGUCGAGACGAACACAAUGAGCGAUUUUGUGAACCUGUAAAAAUAAGCGGUGCCUGUAGUGCUGCGAUAAAAUCCACUCGAGUCAUCGCCUCAUCCCCUCUUUGGGGUGGGGACGUGAUGAAGGAUGGAUGAACCCUCAAAUCGGCGCAGCGUAGCGCCAAGGGAAUCUUGAAACACAAGCCCAUAAAUGGGUUUUGUGGGAUGGGGUGCUGUCGCACGCCAUAUUGAUUGACACGACUCUCGGCAAUGGAUAUCUCGGCUCUCGCAUCGAUGAAGAGCGCAGCGAAAUGCGAUAUGUGGUGCGAAUUGCAGAAUCCCGCGAACCAUCGAGUCUUUGAACGCAAGUUGCGCCUGAGGCCAACCGGCUGAGGGCACGUCCGCCUGGGCGUCAAGCAUUUUAUCGCUCCGUGCCUAGUCUCCCAUCCAUGGAUGUGUUGCCAAGGCUCGGAUGUGCACGGUGGCUCGUCGUGCCCCUUGGUGCGGCGGGCUGAAGGGCGGGUCAUCUUCUCGUUGGCUGCCAACAAUAAGGGGUGGAUUAAAUAAGGCCUAUGCUAUUGUGUCAAGCGCGCCUGAGAGAUGGUCAUACUUAUUAGGUGAUCCCAAUUCAUGCGUCGAUCCAUGGAUGGCGUAUCGAAUGUGACCCCAGGAUGGGCGAGGCCA
Molecule: ribosomal RNA, 661 nt
Filed under: Dendrobium hercoglossum
Lineage: Eukaryota; Viridiplantae; Streptophyta; Magnoliopsida; Asparagales; Orchidaceae
Description: eukaryotic LSU rRNA
Rfam family: 5.8S ribosomal RNA (bases 237-392)
Source: RNAcentral